Molecule: ribosomal RNA, 429 nt
Filed under: Bacteroidota bacterium
Lineage: Bacteria; Pseudomonadati; Bacteroidota
Description: Bacteroidetes bacterium partial 16S ribosomal RNA
Rfam family: Bacterial small subunit ribosomal RNA
Source: RNAcentral
UAGGGAAUCUUCGGCAAUGGGGGGAACCCUGACCGAGCAACGCCGCGUGAGUGAAGAAGGUUUUCGGAUCGUAAAGCUCUGUUGUUAAGGAAGAACGAGUGUGAGAAUUGAAAGUUCAUACUGUGACGGUACUUAACCAGAAAGGGACGGCUAACUACGUGCCAGCAGCCGCGGUAAUACGUAGGUCCCGAGCGUUGUCCGGAUUUAUUGGGCGUAAAGCGAGCGCAGGCGGUUAGAUAAGUCUGAAUUGAAAGGCAGUGGCUCAACCAUUGUAGGCUUUGGAAACUGUUUAACUUGAGUGCAGAAGGGGAGAGUGGAAUUCCAUGUGUAGCGGUGAAAUGCGUAGAUAUAUGGAGGAACACCGGUGGCGAAAGCGGCUCUCUGGUCUGUAACUGACGCUGAGGCUCGAAAGCGUGGGGAGCGAACAGG